Molecule: non-coding RNA, 30 nt
Filed under: Mus musculus (house mouse)
Lineage: Eukaryota; Metazoa; Chordata; Mammalia; Rodentia; Muridae
Source: RNAcentral
UAGUGUCUCAGUCCCUCGUGGGGCAAGUUG